GCUUCCUUGGCUCAGUUGGUAGAGCGUUGGUCUCAUACGAUACAUGAGUGACUUGAAAGUCGCAUAAUCCAAAGGUCGUGAGUUCGAGCCUCACAGGGAGCA
This 102-nucleotide transfer RNA is filed under the name Rhizoctonia solani 123E. It matches the Rfam family "tRNA". From Rfam's summary of the family: Transfer RNA (tRNA) molecules are approximately 80 nucleotides in length. The record is from Rfam by way of RNAcentral. Lineage: Eukaryota; Fungi; Basidiomycota; Agaricomycetes; Cantharellales; Ceratobasidiaceae.